Molecule: long non-coding RNA, 775 nt
Filed under: Anser brachyrhynchus (Pink-footed goose)
Lineage: Eukaryota; Metazoa; Chordata; Aves; Anseriformes; Anatidae
Description: lncRNA (ENSABRG00000007611.1)
Source: RNAcentral
AUAAAGAUCUUUCUGGAGAUGUAUCUUCAGUAGCUGAAGUGAGAACAGGAUUCAUGGUUGAGUAGGUAUGUUCUUUUUUUUUUUUUUUUAAACUUAAAAUACGAAUUGUGUAGUAAAUAUGCUGAUUUUAUAGCUAUCCCUCUACGCAACAUUCUUCCUCAUCAUUUUAAAAACAGAGCCGAACGUACUGGUUUUAAAUCGCCGAGGGAAGGAGGUGCAAUACCCUCGGAGGGCAGCCUGGGGACCACUUGCCCUACCCCUUCACCAUGGAUUUGUGAAGCCUUCAGUUUCCUCCCCCUCCCCUCCCGUGUGGGGGCCGCAGCCCAGCCCAGCCCUGCCUCCCGCAAAUUCCGGCCGCCUGCUCACGCCCCGCUCCGUGCUGGUGCCAGACGGGGAGGGAGGACGACGAGGGCACGGCAGGGACUUGGGGAGGCGCUGAGGAGCCGCCGCAGGUCGCUCGCCCCGCAGCGUCCUGGGGUUGCGCGGAGGCGGCGGUGCUGGCAGCGGAGCCCUGGGAUCCCGGGAAAUGUAAACAUUGUGUUUCUUCUGAGCACAGUAUAAGCAUUUCUUCACAUCAUCAAUGAAAGCUUAAAGAUGGAGUCAGUGCCUUUCCCCACUGGAAGGGAUACUUUCAAUCCUGUAAGUGUACCUAUAAGAAAUCAGUCCUAAAUCACACACACGACACUUCUGGGUUCAUAGUUAUCUCCCUACAUUAGGUACUGAUGUGCACAAAAUACCAAACUAUUAAAAGGGAAGAUCCUUAAAUCACUGGGGG